This 520-nucleotide ribosomal RNA is filed under the name uncultured Glomus. Its description in RNAcentral is "SSU rRNA". It matches the Rfam family "Eukaryotic small subunit ribosomal RNA", at positions 569 to 1091 of the family's 1831-position model. The record is from RNAcentral. Lineage: Eukaryota; Fungi; Glomeromycota; Glomeromycetes; Glomerales; Glomeraceae.
AGCAGCCGCGGUAAUUCCAGCCCCAAUAGCGUAUAUUAAAGUUGCUGCAGUUAAAAAGCUCGUAGUUGAAUUUCGGGACCAUCAUGUCGGUCGUGCCUCGGUACGUACUGGUAUUGUUGGUUUCUCCCUUCUGACGAACCAUGAUGUCAUUUAUUUGGUGUUGUGGGGAAUCAGGACUGUUACUUUGAAAAAUUAGAGUGUUUAAAGCAGGCUCACGCUUGAAUACAUUAGCAUGGAAUAAUGAAAUAGGACGUUUGAUUCUAUUUUGUUGGUUUCUAGGAUCGACGUAAUGAUUAAUAGGGAUAGUUGGGGGCAUUAGUAUUCAAUUGUCAGAGGUGAAAUUCUUGGAUUUAUUGAAGACUAACUACUGCGAAAGCAUUUGCCAAGGAUGUUUUCAUUAAUCAAGAACGAAAGUUAGGGGAUCGAAGACGAUCAGAUACCGUCGUAGUCUUAACCAUAAACUAUGCCGACUAGGGAUCGGAUGAUGUUAAUUUUUUAAUGUACUCAUUCGGCGCCUUAA